This 76-nucleotide transfer RNA is filed under the name Thalassospira profundimaris. RNAcentral's name for it is "tRNA-Phe". It matches the Rfam family "tRNA". Rfam says of the family: Transfer RNA (tRNA) molecules are approximately 80 nucleotides in length. Their secondary structure includes four short double-helical elements and three loops (D, anti-codon, and T loops). Further hydrogen bonds mediate the characteristic L-shaped molecular structure. tRNAs have two regions of fundamental functional importance: the anti-codon, which is responsible for specific mRNA codon recognition, and the 3' end, to which the tRNAs corresponding amino acid is attached (by aminoacyl-tRNA synthetases). tRNAs cope with the degeneracy of the genetic code in two manners: having more than one tRNA (with a specific anti-codon) for a particular amino acid; and 'wobble' base-pairing, i.e. permitting non-standard base-pairing at the 3rd anti-codon position. The record is from RNAcentral. RNAcentral also lists the same sequence under 2 other names. Lineage: Bacteria; Pseudomonadati; Pseudomonadota; Alphaproteobacteria; Rhodospirillales; Thalassospiraceae.
GCCCAGAUAGCUCAGUUGGUAGAGCAGUGGACUGAAAAUCCGCGUGUCGGUGGUUCGAAUCCGCCUCUGGGCACCA